UAGGGAAUUUUGCGCAAUGGACGAAAGUCUGACGCAGCAAUACCGUGUGAGGGAUGAAGCAUUUCGGUGUGUAAACCUCUGUCGAUGGUGAAUAAGGCAUUCAGGAGUGGAAAGCCUGGGUGUUGAAGGUAGCCAUGAAGGAAGCACCGGCUAACUCUGUGCCAGCAGCCGCGGUAAUACAGGGGGUGCAAGCGUUGUUCGGAAUCACUGGGCGUAAAGGGAGCGUAGGCGGGUCUACAAGACAGAGGUCAAAUCUCCGGGCUCAACCUGGAACUUGCCUUUGUGACUGUGGGCCUUGAGUAUGGUAGAGGUCAGUGGAAUUUCCGGUGUAGCGGUGGAAUGCGUAGAGAUCGGAAAGAACACCAGAGGCGAAGGCGACUGACUGGGCCAAUACUGACGC
RNAcentral lists this ribosomal RNA (400 nucleotides) under uncultured bacterium. Its description in RNAcentral is "bacterial SSU rRNA". It matches the Rfam family "Bacterial small subunit ribosomal RNA", at positions 355 to 746 of the family's 1533-position model. The record is from RNAcentral.